RNAcentral lists this ribosomal RNA (253 nucleotides) under uncultured bacterium. RNAcentral's name for it is "partial 16S ribosomal RNA". It matches the Rfam family "Bacterial small subunit ribosomal RNA", at positions 524 to 776 of the family's 1533-position model. The record is from RNAcentral.
UACGUAGGGUGCGAGCGUUGUCCGGAAUUAUUGGGCGUAAAGAGCUUGUAGGCGGUUUGUCGCGUCUGCUGUGAAAAUCCGGGGCUCAACCCCGGACUUGCAGUGGGUACGGGCAGACUAGAGUGUGGUAGGGGAGAUCGGAAUUCCUGGUGUAGCGGUGAAAUGCGCAGAUAUCAGGAGGAACACCGGUGGCGAAGGCGGAUCUCUGGGCCGUAACUGACGCUGAGGAGCGAAAGCAUGGGGAGCGAACAGG